This 253-nucleotide ribosomal RNA is filed under the name uncultured bacterium. RNAcentral describes it as "partial 16S ribosomal RNA". It matches the Rfam family "Bacterial small subunit ribosomal RNA", at positions 524 to 776 of the family's 1533-position model. The record is from RNAcentral.
GACGGAGGAUGCAAGUGUUAUCCGGAAUCACUGGGCGUAAAGCGUCUGUAGGUGGUUUAAUAAGUCAACUGUUAAAUCUUGAGGCCCAACCUCAAAAUCGCAGUCGAAACUAUUAGGCUAGAGUAUAGUAGGGGUAAAGGGAAUUUCCAGUGGAGCGGUGAAAUGCGUAGAGAUUGGAAAGAACACCGAUGGCGAAGGCACUUUACUGGGCUAUUACUAACACUCAGAGACGAAAGCUAGGGUAGCAAAUGGG